RNAcentral lists this long non-coding RNA (220 nucleotides) under Capsicum annuum. RNAcentral's name for it is "long non-coding RNA (CANN_LNC012577)". The record is from RNAcentral. Lineage: Eukaryota; Viridiplantae; Streptophyta; Magnoliopsida; Solanales; Solanaceae.
CGAGAACAAGAAAUUUCAAUUUCACUCAGCGUAAGUCAAAGAGUGGCAACCAUUAUCAGUUUCUCCUAAAGGCAUACGUUCCAGUUCCUUCCUCAGCUAGUUCUCUAGUUUCUAAAUUCAGAGAUAGGGCACCAAGUCCUAAACCUCAGGGCAGUGGUAGCAGUGCCCGGACCAAUCCCCUUUGUCAGACUUGUGGCAAGCAUCACAAGGGUGUUUAAAG